Molecule: small nucleolar RNA, 101 nt
Filed under: Sorex araneus (European shrew)
Lineage: Eukaryota; Metazoa; Chordata; Mammalia; Eulipotyphla; Soricidae
Description: Small nucleolar RNA SNORD116 (ENSSARG00000015833.1)
Rfam family: Small nucleolar RNA SNORD116
About the family: HBII-85 is a member of the C/D class of snoRNAs, which contain the C (UGAUGA) and D (CUGA) box motifs. HBII-85 is encoded in a tandemly repeated array with another C/D snoRNA, HBII-52, in the Prader-Willi syndrome (PWS) region of chromosome 15. Unlike most other snoRNAs, HBII-85 is expressed prevalently in the brain (but is absent in PWS patients) and lacks any significant complementarity with ribosomal RNA.
Source: RNAcentral
GGAUCAAUGAUGAGUACCCCUUCCUCUAUGCAUUCCUUGGAAAACCUGAACAAAAUGAGUGAGAACUUCUACCACCGCCGUUCUCAUCGAAUCUGAGGUCC